This 468-nucleotide ribosomal RNA is filed under the name uncultured bacterium. RNAcentral describes it as "partial 16S ribosomal RNA". It matches the Rfam family "Bacterial small subunit ribosomal RNA", at positions 28 to 507 of the family's 1533-position model. The record is from RNAcentral.
GACGAACGCUGGCGGCGUGCUUAACACAUGCAAGUCGAACGGAAAGGCCCUGCUUUUGUGGGGUGCUCGAGUGGCGAACGGGUGAGUAACACGUGAGUAACCUGCCCUUGACUUUGGGAUAACUUCAGGAAACUGGGGCUAAUACCGGAUAGGAGCUCCUGCUGCAUGGUGGGGGUUGGAAAGUUUCGGCGGUUGGGGAUGGACGCGCGGCUUAUCAGCUUGUUGGUGGGGUAGUGGCUUACCAAGGCUUUGACGGGUAGCCGGCCUGAGAGGGUGACCGGCCACAUUGGGACUGAGAUACGGCCCAGACUCCUACGGGAGGCAGCAGUGGGGAAUAUUGCACAAUGGGCGGAAGCCUGAUGCAGCAACGCCGCGUGCGGGAUGACGGCCUUCGGGUUGUAAACCGCUUUCGCCUGUGACGAAGCGUGAGUGACGGUAAUGGGUAAAGAAGCACCGGCUAACUACGUG